UGCAGUGAGUUUUCUUUCCAAAAAAUAAACAGAAUUCCCAGUCAAAAUCACACACACACCCGGUGUUUGCUUAGAAAAUGUUAUUUAUUGCGUUUUCUCCUUCAGUGCGUCACAUCUGUAUCUGUAAGUGUAUCUGUAUCUGCACCACAUGACCUACCCACUGGCCAAAGGAUCUGGGCAAAGUGUUAGCCAUCUUGCACUGCAUUCCGGCUUGCAGUGAAAUUCCGCAGCUCAUGGCUUGACAAACAUGGCCCUGUUUCGAGAGGACAAAGAUGCUGGAGAUGCUGUAGAUGCUGUAGAUGAUGCUGAUGUGGCUGCCAUGCCCGCAGAAUGUUUGCUCAACACUUAUUUUUAGUGAAAGACUCGGAGGCGUGUGCGAAGAAAGGAGGUCUAGGUACAAGCCUCUGAAUGCCUAGCUACACGGGGAAAAAAGUAUCGAUCUCAACUAUAAAUGCUGUAUAGCUUCAGUUUUCCACUAAGCUUAUGCUUUUAUUACAAGCUGCAUACUUUUAUUUUUGCAGUGCAGCUGCAGUGGAAACUGAAACUUUGUCGUUCUCGAGAGCAUUUUAAACAGCGGAUGGCCCUCAGGUCGUCAUCUGCGGCUGAUGUCGUCGAAAGUCUCGAGAGUUUUGUUAUGCUGGGCUGCAUCUUAUCCAUAAUGCAGGUUCCGCUUUCGAAAUGCACUUUAAAUGCACCAUGCACCAUGCAGCUGGCUAGUUCGCGCUUUAAUUGAAAGUUGAUGUGGUCGCGCAGGGAAUGCAUUUUUAUAGUUAUGCGUUUGUCAUUCUGUCAAAUGCCAGGCUGCAACAAAAUCUACCGCUGUCGCGGAAUUUCGCAACCAACUGGUGUCAAAAAGUGCUGUGAGUUUAGGCGACAAAUCAAAUUGCAAAAAAGCGCACGCUUUUAACUCAAAAAUGCAAACCGCCAUGCAAUAACGGAAGCGGAUGCGUUCAAACUGGUUUCUGAUUGUGUGAAAAUUCAAUGCCGUACUCACUCAGAAACUGUUGCAUACUUUGGGGCUUGCGUGUCAUAGCAAAGUGCACUUCCAUUCGUUGUUAAAAGUUGAUAAAGCAUUGUGCAGAAUUCAAAUAAAUGCCACAUGCAUUAGUACGCAUUCAUAUGAUUCAUAGAUGUUCAUAUAUUCAUAUAAAUUUUGAUCACCUCCAAAAUGACGGAGCAAAUUAUCUUGAGAUGCCUUUGGAAUACCACCAGCUUCCAGACCUUAUCAUUAGUUUAAAGUUUCAAAAGUCAUCUCGAAAGUUUGACUCCCAGCAACUCAGUGCAGACGACAUUAAUUAAUAUAAAUGAAGCCAGUUUCUAAUGUUUGUCCUGGUCUGCGGUGCUAAUCACUUAGACCCACGACCCAUGGAACAUGUCGCGUUUGUGGGAUGUCAUUAAAAAGAAGGAAGCAAAAGUGCCUCUUACAUUACAACCAGUAAUUUUCGCGUAUUACUCGAGGCUGACUGAGGACCGAGGGUUUUAGCCAAGUGGAAAUGAGGAAACAGUGCGCGGGAAUCAUAUGCACUUAACAUGCAAUUGCGUGCCAUAGACGAGGACAAAUUUGCCGGUCUGAAAAUGAAAACAUUAUUCAUAAGCAGUCGACGACGCCGCCGCCGCCGCCAUCAGCAUCGGCAUCGGUGGCUUCAAGGAUCCCUGGACUCCCCCAGUCAGUGCCACCCAACUCGGGGGCAGGAGCUGCUCCCUUCGUCUGGUCGUCGCUUUCAACUAUAACACAUAGUAUCCGAGCACUAACGAGUCCAGUGCUUGGGUAACUGUAAACUUUACGUGCCCACAUUGCCAGUUUGCAUACACAAUGAAAAAAGCUUGCCCCAUUAUAUAUUUAUUAACUAAGGCAGUAAGAAAUAAUUAAUAAACAUAAGAAUCAUUUAAUGUUGCUCUGCAAUAUGAA
Drosophila yakuba is the source of this 1909-nucleotide long non-coding RNA. RefSeq lists it as uncharacterized. The record is from RefSeq and is a predicted model, not a curated record. The transcript has 3 exons. Lineage: Eukaryota; Metazoa; Arthropoda; Insecta; Diptera; Drosophilidae.